CGUGUAGGCGGUUUGGCAAGUCAGAUGUGAAAGCCCUGGGCUCAACCCAGGAAGUGCAUUUGAAACUGCCAUCCUUGAGUAUGGGAGAGGAGAGUGGAAUUCCCAAUGUAGAGGUGAAAUUCGUAGAUAUUGGGAGGAACACCCGUGGCGAAGGCGACUCUCUGGACCAAUACUGACGCUGAGACGCGAAAGCGUGGGGAGCAAACA
Molecule: ribosomal RNA, 207 nt
Filed under: uncultured bacterium
Lineage: Bacteria
Description: partial 16S ribosomal RNA
Rfam family: Bacterial small subunit ribosomal RNA
Source: RNAcentral